GACGAACGCUGGCGGCGUGCUUAACACAUGCAAGUCGAACGGAAAGGCCCUGCUUUUGUGGGGUGCUCGAGUGGCGAACGGGUGAGUAACACGUGAGUAACCUGCCCUUGACUUUGGGAUAACUUCAGGAAACUGGGGCUAAUACCGGAUAGGAGCUCCUGCUGCAUGGUGGGGGUUGGAAAGUUUCGGCGGUUGGGGCUGGACUCGCGGCUUAUCAGCUUGUUGGUGGGGUAGUGGCUUACCAAGGCUUUGACGGGUAGCCGGCCUGAGAGGGUUACCGGCCUCAUGGGGACUGAGAUACGGCCCAGACUGCUACGGGAGGCAGCAGUGGGGAAUAUUGCACAAUGGGCGGAAGCCUGAUGCAGAAACGCCGCGUGCGGGAUGACGGCCUUCGGGUGGUAAACAGCUGUCGCCUGUGACGAAGCGGGAGUGACGGUAAUGGGUAAAGAAGCACCGGCUAACUACGUG
RNAcentral lists this ribosomal RNA (468 nucleotides) under uncultured bacterium. Its description in RNAcentral is "partial 16S ribosomal RNA". It matches the Rfam family "Bacterial small subunit ribosomal RNA", at positions 28 to 507 of the family's 1533-position model. The record is from RNAcentral.